This 282-nucleotide long non-coding RNA is filed under the name Rattus norvegicus (Norway rat). Its description in RNAcentral is "long non-coding RNA NONRATT008107". Lineage: Eukaryota; Metazoa; Chordata; Mammalia; Rodentia; Muridae. The record is from RNAcentral.
CCCGUGGUGCAAGCCCUGUUGCAUCGAGUGGUCUGUCACAUCCGUGCGCUGGUUGUGCUUCCCACUAAGGAGCUGGCCCAACAGGUGAGCAAAGUAUUCAACAUCUACACGGACACCACACCUCUGCGGGUUGCCUUGGUGACUGGACAGAAGUCACUGGCCAAGGAGCAGGAGAGCCUUGUCCAGAAGACGUAGGUGUGCCAGGUGGUGGGCUCUUCAAGAGGUCCUCCCUCAGCCCAGCUGGGGUCCUGUGGUGGGGGUGGUGGGGGUUGGGGGUCGGGG